RNAcentral lists this ribosomal RNA (422 nucleotides) under uncultured bacterium. RNAcentral's name for it is "partial 16S ribosomal RNA". It matches the Rfam family "Bacterial small subunit ribosomal RNA", at positions 360 to 774 of the family's 1533-position model. The record is from RNAcentral.
AAUAUUAGACAAUGGGGGCAACGCUGAUCCAGCCAUGCCGCGUGUGUGAAGAAGGUAUUCGGAUUGUCCUGCACUUUAAGUUGGGAGGAAGGGCUGUAGGCUAAUACCCUGAAGUUUUGACGUUACUAACAGAAUAAGCACCGGCUAACUCGGUGCCAGCAGCCGCGGUAAUACAGAGGGUGCAAGCGUUAAUCGGCAUUACUGGGCGUAAAGCGCUCGUAGGUGGUUCAGUAAGAUGUGUUGGAAAUCCCCGGGCUUAACCUGGGAACUGCUUUCAUAACUGCUGAGCUAGAGUACGGUAGAGGGUAGUGGAAUUUCCUGUGUAGCGGUAAAAUGCGUAGAUAUAGGAAGGAACACCAGUGGCGAAGGCGACUACCUGGACUGAUACUGACACUGAGGUGCGAAAGCGUGGGGAGCAAACA